GUGGGGGAUAUUGCACAAUGGGCGCAAGCCUGAUGCAGCGACGCCGCGUGAGGGAUGACGGCUUUCGGGUUGUAAACCUCUUUCGCUACCGAACAAGGCUCCAUAUUGGUGGGGUUGAGGGUAGGUGGAUAAGAAGCGCCGGCUAACUACGUGCCAGCAGCCGCGGUAAUACGUAGGGCGCGAGCGUUGUCCGGAAUUAUUGGGCGUAAAGAGCUCGUAGGCGGCUUGUCGCGUCUGCUGUGAAAACGCGGGGCUUAACUCCGCGCGUGCAGUGGGUACGGGCAGGCUAGAGUGUGGUAGGGGUGACUGGAAUUCCUGGUGUAGCGGUGGAAUGCGCAGAUAUCAGGAGGAACACCGAUGGCGAAGGCAGGUCACUGGGCCAUUACUGACGCUGAGGAGCGAAAGCAUGGGGAGCGAACAGGAUUAGAAACCCCUGUAGUCC
This 442-nucleotide ribosomal RNA is filed under the name uncultured bacterium. RNAcentral's name for it is "bacterial SSU rRNA". It matches the Rfam family "Bacterial small subunit ribosomal RNA", at positions 354 to 796 of the family's 1533-position model. The record is from RNAcentral.